RNAcentral lists this long non-coding RNA (2970 nucleotides) under Homo sapiens (human). RNAcentral describes it as "HSALNT0255701". Lineage: Eukaryota; Metazoa; Chordata; Mammalia; Primates; Hominidae. The record is from RNAcentral.
AAGGGGGGGGCUGAGGGGGUGGGCGUGAGUUGCACGUGGUGCAAGCGGGAGUGUUUGCGUGCGUAGUCACGUGACUUCGGCACCUUUCCCUCCGCUUUCGAUAGGUUGCUCCAUCAUGUGACAAUGGCGAAUUUCGCGGUUUCCUUCGCCAUCUGACAACUUUUGGCGCCUUCCCUUUGCCGUACUGGGAGUCCUCCAUCACGUGACGAGGGCACGCUCUGGUUUUCGCUAAGGCGUUUUUUGAGCGGCCAUUACCACGUGAUGCAAGGCAAGCGUCAGAGGCGGAGCCUCCCUACGGCUGCGACAUUUUGCGCCUGCGCGGCCGCCAUCUUACGCCCGUCGCCCUGAGUACGUUAGCGGAAAUGGCUCCGAGAGGCUUUGACGCAUGUGUACCUUUUUAGUGGCGGUAUCUCGGCCGGGGAUUUUCGGGCUCCAGUGGAGGUGGCUAUGCUCACCCCAUCUCCCUUGAGAGGCACAGAAGGUUAGAGAUGUGUGCGAGGAACGGCCAGGUCCAGCGUCUCCUCGUUGCUGCCCCUUGAGCCCGGGACCGGCGCCAAUGCGCGCCCGGGUUCUUGGGUUCUUUCGUCCCGCAGACCUGCCUUGGUGUGGCGUCCCUGGGCCGUAGCUUCCGAAGGCUGCAGCCGACCUGGUCGGGGUCCUCUAGCCCGCCUUCCCCUUCCCCCAUUGACAGAUGGAGAAACUGAGGCCCAGGCCAAAAAAUAUCUCACUAGAGGGCUCACCGCCAUUUCCUGGAAAAAUUGGGGCUGGGACUCAACGGACGCUCGUCCAGCAGCAGCGCGGAGCUCCGAAGUAAAGGCGCCCGUGACCGAGUGCUUUGUCCUUACAAGCGUGGUGUUCUUGAAUGCUUCCAGGCGCCUUAUGAGGCCCCCGAUGUACAAUCUGUGCUUAACUAAACCCCACUGUCUUCCAGGGUCAGGUUGGCCAUCCGCAGGCGUAGUUGCUAGGAAGGUUUGACAGAUGUCCGCCUGUUGAUUCAGACGUUCCCAGGAUUUGGAGCAAGAAGAGCAAGGAAGGCCAGGCGCGGUGGCUCACGUUUGUAAUCCCAGCACUUUGGGAGGCCGAGGCGGGCGGAUCACGAGGUCAGGAGUUCGAGACCAGCCUGGCCAGCAUGGUGAAACCCCGUCUCUACUAAAAAUACAAAAGAAAAUUAGCCGGGUGUGGUGGCACAUGCCUGUAGUCCCACCUACUUGGGAGGCUGAGGCAGGAGAAUUGUUUGACCUGGCAGGCGGAGGUUGCAGUGAGCCGAGAUUGCGCCACUGCACUCCAGUCUGGGCGACAGAGCGAGACUCUGUCUCAGAAAAAAAAAAGAGCAAGGAGGUGUUGAAAAUGGGUUUCCUGGCUGGGCGUGGUGGCUCACGCUUGUAAUCCCAGCACUUUGGGAAGCUGAGGUGGGCGGAUCACUUGAGGUCAGGAGUUUGAGACCAGCCUGGCCAACAUGGUGAAACACCGUCUCCACUAAAAAUAGAAAAAUUAACUGGGUGUGGUGGAGGGCGCCUGUAAUCCCAGCUAAUCAGGAAGCUGAGACAGGAGGAUCGCUUGAACCCAGGAGGCGGAGGUUGCAGUGAGCCGAGAUUGCUCCAUUGCACUCCAGCCUGGGCGAUAGAGUGAGACUCAGCCUCAAAAAAAAAAAAAAAAAAAAAUUCGCCAGGUGUGGUGGUGUGCGCCUAUAAUCCCAGCUACUCAGGAGGCAGAGGCACAAGAAUGGCUUGAAUCACUUGAACCUGGGAGGCAGAGGUUACAAUGAGCCGAGAUGGCACCACUGCACUCCAGCCUGGGCGACAGAGCGAGACUCCGACUUCCCAUCUUAAAAAAAAAAAAAAAAAAAAAAAAGAAGUGUAAAGAUGUGAUUAUGUGGCAGGGGGUAAGGGUUAAAAAGAAAACAAGAACAAGUUUUCCUCUGCUUAGCCAGCUUACUUCAAGGACAGUUAUAACACUGAAAAGUCGAGGCCAAAGGAAUGGGCUCCAGACAGCCUCCUCCGGAGCAAAGUUGAAAAGAAAAAUUCCUUUACUGUCUCUCCUUUUCUGAACCAUUAAAUAUGACUGUUUGCCAAUGGUUGUAUUUAGUAAGAUUUGUAGACUCUGUUUUUCUUUUGACACAGCUGCAAGGCCAACAGCUGUGCAAAGCCACAAGUUAUGCUAAGUCAGCAGUUAUGCUAUAGAUUACAUGACCUGUGACUGUAUCAUUAACUGCUUUUGUUUUGCUUCUGUAAGUUUGCCUAUAAAAACCACACUCAGUCUUUGUUCAAUGGUCAGCUUUUCAGAUACAAAUCCACUGAGCCGGUGUACAUCUAAAUAAAUCCUCCUGUUUCCCGUGUCAGUCUCUCUGGUCCUUUGUUUCCUGCAACAAUUACAGAAAUGAGUGCCUAGCCGGGCAUGGUGGCUCACGCCUGUAAUCCCCACACUUUGGGAGGCCGAGGCUGGAGGAUCCCUUAAGCCCAGGAGUUUGAGGCCAGCUUGAGCAACAUGGCAAAACCCAGUCUCUACAAAAAUUAGCUGAGCGUGAUGGCCUGUGUCCAUAGUUCCAUCUACUUGGGAGGAGUAGGUGGGAGGAUCACUUGAGCUGUGGAGGUCCAGGCUGCAGUGAGCCGUGAUGGAGUCACUGCACUUUUCAGCCUGGAUGGCACAGCUAGACCGUCUCAAAAAAGAAAUGAGUGCAUGCUGUACCCUCUGCUUUUCUAUUUUAUUUACAUUUUACUGUGGAUUUUUAAUAGGUAGCAUAGUCACAUGAUACGUCAAAUGUGCCAAAGACCCACCGCGACCAGCCAUUGUACAGUUUUUUGUGUAACUACAGUAGAGUUUUAUUUUCAGAGGUGCAUAAUCAUAUUCUUGUUUUUCACAUAAAUUGAUAAGUUAUUCUGCACCAGGCUUUUUAAUUUCAUUUCCUGUGCCUCAGAUCUGUCUCACAAAUAGAGCUGGAAAUUGAAGAAAGGUUUGGUAAGAUGAUUGGGG